CGAAUGUCGUAACGACUCUCGGCAACGGAUAUCUCGGCUCUCGCAUCGAUGAAGAACGUAGCGAAAUGCGAUACUUGGUGUGAAUUGCAGAAUCCCGUGAACCAUCGAGUCUUUGAACGCAAGUUGCGCCCGAAGCCGUCAGGCUGAGGGCACGUCUGCAUGGGCGUCACGC
Molecule: ribosomal RNA, 172 nt
Filed under: Elsholtzia splendens
Lineage: Eukaryota; Viridiplantae; Streptophyta; Magnoliopsida; Lamiales; Lamiaceae
Also listed under: 6 other names
Description: 5.8S ribosomal RNA
Rfam family: 5.8S ribosomal RNA
About the family: 5.8S ribosomal RNA (5.8S rRNA) is a component of the large subunit of the eukaryotic ribosome. It is transcribed by RNA polymerase I as part of the 45S precursor that also contains 18S and 28S rRNA.
Source: RNAcentral